AUGCUUGCUUCGGCAGCACAUAUACUAAAAUUGGAAGAUUAGCAUGGCCCCUGCGCAAAGGAUGACACACAAAUUCGUGAAGCAUUCUAUAUUUAA
Molecule: small nuclear RNA, 96 nt
Filed under: Mus caroli (Ryukyu mouse)
Lineage: Eukaryota; Metazoa; Chordata; Mammalia; Rodentia; Muridae
Source: RNAcentral